CCUACGGGAGGCAGCAGUGGGGAAUUUUGGACAAUGGGCGCAAGCCUGAUCCAGCAAUGCCGCGUGCAGGAUGAAGGCCUUCGGGUUGUAAACUGCUUUUGUACGGAACGAAACGGCCCUUUCUAAUACAAGGGGCUAAUGACGGUACCGUAAGAAUAAGCACCGGCUAACUACGUGCCAGCAGCCGCGGUAAUACGUAGGGUGCGAGCGUUAAUCGGAAUUACUGGGCGUAAAGCGUGCGCAGGCGGUUAUAUAAGACAGAUGUGAAAUCCCCGGGCUCAACCUGGGACCUGCAUUUGUGACUGUAUAGCUAGAGUACGGUAGAGGGGGAUGGAAUUCCGCGUGUAGCAGUGAAAUGCGUAGAUAUGCGGAGGAACACCGAUGGCGAAGGCAAUCCCCUGGACCUGUACUGACGCUCAUGCACGAAAGCGUGGGGAGCAAACAGGAUUAGAUACCCUGAUAGUCCACGCCCUAAACGAUGUCAACUGGUUGUUGGGUCUUCACUGACUCAGUAACGAAGCUAACGCGUGAAGUUGACCGCCUGGGGAGUACGGCCGCAAGGUUGAAACUCAAAGGAAUUGACGGCUGAGAGNGCGAGACGACGACGAGGGAGGAGG
RNAcentral lists this ribosomal RNA (617 nucleotides) under uncultured bacterium. RNAcentral's name for it is "bacterial SSU rRNA". It matches the Rfam family "Bacterial small subunit ribosomal RNA", at positions 338 to 948 of the family's 1533-position model. The record is from RNAcentral.